RNAcentral lists this ribosomal RNA (248 nucleotides) under uncultured bacterium. RNAcentral's name for it is "partial 16S ribosomal RNA". It matches the Rfam family "Bacterial small subunit ribosomal RNA", at positions 57 to 305 of the family's 1533-position model. The record is from RNAcentral.
GCAAGUCGAACGGUAACAGCAGAGCUUGCUCUGGCUGACGAGUGGCGGACGGGUGAGUAACGCGUAGGAAUCUGCCUUAUAGUGGGGGACAACUCGGGGAAACUCGAGCUAAUACCGCAUACGCCCUACGGGGGAAAGCGGGGGAUCUUCGGACCUCGCGCUAUCGGAUGAGCCUGCGUUGGAUUAGCUAGUUGGUGGGGUAAAGGCCUACCAAGGCAACGAUCCAUAGCUGUUCUGAGAGGAAGAUC